GAUGAACGCUGGCGGCGUGCUUAACACAUGCAAGUCGAACGAUGAAGCCCAGCUUGCUGGGUGGAUUAGUGGCGAACGGGUGAGUAACACGUGAGUAACCUGCCCUUAACUCUGGGAUAAGCCUGGGAAACUGGGUCUAAUACCGGAUAGGAGCGUCCACCGCAUGGUGGGUGUUGGAAAGAUUUAUCGGUUUUGGAUGGACUCGCGGCCUAUCAGCUUGUUGGUGAGGUAAUGGCUCACCAAGGCGACGACGGGUAGCCGGGCUGAGAGGGUGACCGGCCACAAUGGGACUGAGACACGGCCCAGACUCCUACGGGAGGCAGCAGUGGGGAAUAUUGCACAAUGGGCGAAAGCCUGAUGCCGCGACGCCGCGUGAGGGAUGACGGCCUUCGGGUUGUAAACCUCUUUCAGUAGGGAAGAAGCGAAAGUGACGGUACCUGCAGAAGAAGCACCGGCUAACUACGUGCCAGCCGCCGCAGUAA
Molecule: ribosomal RNA, 482 nt
Filed under: uncultured bacterium
Lineage: Bacteria
Description: partial 16S ribosomal RNA
Rfam family: Bacterial small subunit ribosomal RNA
Source: RNAcentral